CUAAUAGGAGACAAGAGCAUAUGGUGGAUGCCUAGGUUUGAAAUGGCGAUGAAGGACGUGGACAAUCUGCGAUAAGUCUCGGGGAGCCGAUUCUCAGGCUUUGAUCCGGGAAUUUCCUAAUGGGGGAACCCCUCUGCUUUUAUAGGCAGAGAUCCGACAGGGAUAACUUCUGUUGGAGGCGCACCUGGGGAAGUAAAACAUUUCAGUACCCAUAGGAAAAGAGACCAAAUAAGGAAUUUCCUUAGUAGCGGCGAGCGAAACGGAACCAGCCCAAACCCUCCUUCGCUUUGUGCUUCGCACAAAGCUUCGGAGGGCGCAGCCUUAUAUACAAGGGGCCGUGCCCUCCCGAAGCUCGUAGCGGAGCGUAGAGCGAAGGAGGGGGUUAUAAGACAAUAGACAUCAUAUGAUGCGCGAUGGGCUUGACUCAUUUAACGAGUCGAGCAUGUCGUGCAGACAGGAUGAGCGAGGUUACAAAUCGUGAGGAUAGGAGAAAGUGCUGGAAAAGCACUAUCAGAGAGGGUGAUAAUCCCGUAUCCGAAAUCUGAACGACCUUUUUUAUUGCUCUUGAGUACUUCGAGACAUGAAUAGCUCGGAGGAAUUUGCCAGUACUCACUGGUAAGGCUACAUACAUUUCAAAACCGAUAGUGAACAAGUACCGUGAGGGAAAGGUGAAAAGAACCCCGGCAAGGGGAGUGAAAUAGAACUGAAACCAUAUGUUUACAAAGAGUCGAAGUCGCGUCUGACGCGACGACGGCGUGCCUAUUGAAGAAUGAGCCAACGAGUGUAUCGAUACUGCUCGGCUAAGGUGUUACGCACCGUAGUCACAGCGAAAGCGAGUGUGAUAAGCGCGACCAAUGUAGUAUCUAUACGACCCGAAGCAGAGUGAUCUUACCAUGAGCAGGAUGAAGUUCGCCGAAAGGCGAAUGGAGGUCCGAACCGGGGCGCCGUACGAAACGCUCGGAUGACUUGUGGUAGGGAGUGAAAAGCUAAUCGAACUCUGUAAUAGCUGGUUCUCUCCGAAACAGCUUUUGGGUUGGCGUCAUGAGUUCCCACUGGGGGUAGAGCACUGGAUAGUAUCGGAUAGCGGGAAACCGCGCCGAGCUUAUCAAACUCCGAAUACCAGUGGCCAUAUCAUGGCAGUUAGUCUAUGGGCGCGAAGGUCCAUUAGACAAAAGGGAAACAGCCCAGAUCGCCAAAUAAGGUCCCUAAAUCUAUGUUAAGUGCAAGUAAGGAGGUGAAGUUUCUCCGACAAUCAGGAGGUUGGCUUAGAAGCAGCCACCCUUUAAAGAUAGCGUAACAGCUCACUGAUCAAGAGACUCUGCACCGCUAAUAAUCGGGGCUCAAACAUAGUACCGAAUUUGCGGGUUUUCUUGCCCUCGGGCAAGGAAGCGGUAGGAGAGCGUUGUCAUCUGCGUUGAAGCUGAAGGGGUAACCCACAGUGGAGCGUUGACAAGUGAGAAUGUUGGCACAAGUAACCACAACACAGGUAAAAUCCCUGUGCGCCGAAAUCCCAAGGUUUCCCGGGCUACGUUGAUCGACCCGGGGUUAGUCGGUCCUAAGGUCAUGGUGACAAACCGCAGCCGAUGGACACACGGUUAAUAUUCCGUGACGUGUAUCUAUGUCUAUGGGGUGACGGAGGAAAUAAUUAUGCGCGUCUUAUUGGAUUGACGUACGUGUCCGAAGAUAGGAAUUCUAGGUAAAUCCGGAAUUCACAUACUAUCAAGGAAGCGUGGAAGUUUGUCGCAAGACAGACGAACGCAUAUGAAUAGCCUCCCAAGAAAAACCUCUAAGAUUACGUAGGUACACACCGUACCGCAAACCGACACAGGUGGGAAGGUCGAGAAGACCAAGGCGAACGAGUGAGAGGUCCUCAAGGAACUCGGCAAAAAAGCAGCCGUAACUUCGGGAUAAGGCUUGCCACGCUUAGCGUGGCUGCAACAAAAGUUUCUCUGGCGACUGUUUAUCAAAAACACAGCUCCCUGCGAACUCGUAAGAGGAUGUAUAGGGGGUGACACCUGACCAAUGCCAGAAGGUCAAAUAUGGAUGGUUUAUGCUUUGCUUGCAAAGCAUAGGCUGAGCUAUAUAAGCCCUGGUGAAUGUCGGCCGUAACUAUAACGGUCCUAAGGUUCUGUUUCUCUUAGCAAUAAGGGAAACAGAUAGACUGGGACUGUUGUAGGAUGAAGAUAAACAAAUAAAAUUACACAACGCUGCCUAUCAGUUGUAAUAACUGAUGUCAUAAAAUAUCUGACCAUAUGCUGGGAUAUCUGGUGAAUCGAGCGCUACUUUUUGCUAUAAUUACCAUUAUGACAAAGAGUAACAAUGCGACUCGUGCAGACAAUCAGCAGGAAAGACUGAUUAAAAUAGGAUGGAUAACUGGUUUUGUAGAUGGAGAAGGAUGUUUUACCAUUCAUUUUGUAAAACAGCAUGACCAUCAGGAACCAACAAGAAUUCGAAGAGGCUAUACCACCGGCUAUCUCAAAUUGCGCACAACUUUACGGUUGUGCAAGGUGCAAGAAGUCUGGAUAGUCUGCAAAAAAUAAAAGAUUUUUUCCAAGUUGGGAACAUUCAUAUCAAUCGAAGGCAUGAUAAUCACAAGGAAGACCUCUAUCAUUAUGUAGUAACAAAACGAAAAGAUCUUCUCGAAGUAAUUAUCCCUUUCUUUCGGAUCUAUGAGUUACAAACAGCAAAGAAAAAAGAUUUCGAAUUGUUUGCACAAUGUCUCGAACUCAUGAAAGAUGAUAAACAUCUCACGCAUGUGGGUGCUAUUGAAAUAGCAUUGAUGUGUGAAAAGAUGAAUCAUCAAAAAUCCAGAACUGAAUUGAUCAGAAUCCUCAGAGACCAAAUGUCAGACUCUCUGUAGAAGAGAGAAGAUAGAGUCCUAACUGCAUAGCGAUAUGCAGCCAUGCGUAGUGCACAUGGACAUUGACAAAUUAAAUUUUGUUAUGUAAAGCAAUAAGCGAAAUACCUUGUCGGGUAGGAAACUGCCCAUCCGAAGAGUGAUUUUCGGAUUAAAUCUGGCUUAUAACGGUGGAGCCCUUUGCAAAAAUGCGCGCAAAAGGGGAAUACCGUGGGAAGUCUUCCAUUUUUAAUGGAAUGACCCCGUAACGACUUAGGUCACCUAUAUAUAGUGGCGACCUGGAUAGAUUAUUGGUAUAAUCUAUAAUAUGCCAGCUCUCAAAAAUAAACGUAAUAUAUAUGAGUAUAUUUCAGGAUAUGUAGAUGGGGAAGGAUGUUUUAGUAUUUCUUUUUCUAAACGAGAAAAAUUUCUCGUUGGUUGGGAAACAAAACCAAGUUUCUCUGUUAGCCAAAAUGGAGGCAGAGCGCAAAUCCUUUUCAUCAUGAAAAAAGUUUUCAAAUGUGGCUUUAUACGACGAGAUUAUUCAGACAAAACACUAAAAUAUGAGGUGCGAAGUCUUAGUGAUCUGGUAAGUUUUAUUAUUCCACAUUUUAAUAGAUAUCCUUUGGUUUCAGCAAAACAAAAAGAUUUCGAGUUUUUCAAAAAAGUUUGUUUCUUUAUGCAAAUAGAGAUGCAUAAGAAUAAGAAAGGAUUGAAUAAAAUUAUGAAUCUGGCGUUUAGAAUGAAUCCAAGCGGGAAAAGGAAGUAUACAAAAGCAGAAAUGCAAAAAACGUUGAGAUGAAGAUAUAGUCUAAUCCCUCUCGUAAGAGAGGAAAGUAAAAUGAAGUUCCGACGCGCACGAAUGGUGUAACGACUGGGGAACUGUCUCGAGGACUCGCUCGGUGAAAAUACAGUACCGGUGAAGAUGCCGGUUACCUGCAGUUAGACGAAAAGACCCCGGAAGCUUUACUACAGCUUCGUAUUGGCUAUGUUGAUUUUGUGCGCAGAAUAGGUGGGAGGCUUUGAUCUAUGGAUUCUGGUUUAUAGUGAGCCGACAGUGAAAUACCAUCCUCAAAAUUGGCUUAGUCUAACCUCAGCGGAAAAAACGCAGAGGGACCGUGCGUGGUAGGUAGUUUGAGUGGGGCGCUUUCCUCCCAAAAAGUAACGGAGGAGCCUACUAAGGUCCGUUAGACGCGUAUGGAAAACGUGUCGAUAGUGUAAAGGCAUAAACGGGCUUGACUGCAAGGGGGCCAUCCCAAGCAGGUGCGAAAGCAGAGCUUAAUGAACCGACUGUCACCAUGAGAUGGUGCAGGAGAUUAUCGGACAAAAGCUACUCCGGGGAUAACAGGCUAGUGUUGCCCUAGCGUCCAUAGCGACGGCAGCGUUCGGCACCUCGAUGUCGACUCAUCACAUCCUGGGGCUGGAGAAGGUCCCAAGGGUUUGGCUGUUCGCCAAUUAAAGUGGUACGUGAGUUGGGUUCAGACCGUUGAGCAGUGAAUAUUUAUCCACUGUUCAACCCGUCUGAAUCCUCUCUGAAAACGACAAUGUUAUUCUCGUUCACUCCGCAAUGGCGGAGGAACAUUAGGAAAAUUUUUAAAAUCAGGUUAUUUCGUUUAAUAAGAUAUAAAAGCAGAUAGAGACAAUCAUUACGGCGGUCUCAUACAGUAAUGUAUGAUGACAUGCUCAACUUAUAUCGGUGGAAUCCUUAGAAUUUCUACGCCAAUAGCGGAGAAGAAAAAAGGACAACCCCGAGGGAAAUAUUUUUUCUUUUUAAGAAAAGAAAUAUACCCGUAGAGACUGAAUGUUGAGCUCCUACUUUGUAGGAUGAAGUUACAGUCCAAUGCACACAGUAAUGUGUGAGAACAUGCGUAAGACAGGUUGGUCUCCUAUCUACUGCAGGCGUUGAUACUUGAGGAAAGCUGCCCCUAGUACGAGAGGACCGGGGUGGACCGACCACUGGUCUAUCGGCUGUCACGCCCGUGGCACCGCCGAGUAGCUAUGUCGGGAAUGGAUAACCUCUGAAAGCAUCUAAGAGGGAAGCCAGUUCCAAGAUUAGGUAUCGUUAUGAGGUCCCUGAGAGAUUAUCAGGUUGAUAGGCAUUAGGUGAAAGUGCAGUAAUGCAUUGAGCCGAGAUGUACUAAUUGACCCAGACCUAUUAGGA
Molecule: non-coding RNA, 4997 nt
Organism: Candidatus Nomurabacteria bacterium
Lineage: Bacteria; Candidatus Nomuraibacteriota
Source: Rfam